UACGGAGGGUGCAAGCAUUAAUCGGAAUUAUUGGGCGUAAAGGGCGCGUAGGCGGGAGUAUAAGUCAGAUGUGAAAUUCCGAGGCUCAACUUCGGAGCUGCAUUUGAAACUAUACACCUCGAGGAUUGGCGGAGAGAACGGAGUUCCACGUGUAGCGGUGAAAUGCGUAGAUAUGUGGAAGAACACCGGUGGCGAAAGCGGUUCUCUAGCUUAUUCCCGACGCUGAGGCGCGAGAGCAAGGGGAGCAAACAGG
RNAcentral lists this ribosomal RNA (253 nucleotides) under uncultured bacterium. RNAcentral describes it as "partial 16S ribosomal RNA". It matches the Rfam family "Bacterial small subunit ribosomal RNA", at positions 524 to 776 of the family's 1533-position model. The record is from RNAcentral.